RNAcentral lists this ribosomal RNA (301 nucleotides) under uncultured bacterium. Its description in RNAcentral is "partial 16S ribosomal RNA". It matches the Rfam family "Bacterial small subunit ribosomal RNA", at positions 509 to 809 of the family's 1533-position model. The record is from RNAcentral.
CAGCAGCCGCGGUAAUACGAAGGGGGCUAGCGUUGUUCGGAUUUACUGGGCGUAAAGGGCGCGUAGGCGGACUGAUAAGUCAGGGGUGAAAUCCCAAGGCUCAACCUUGGAACUGCCUUUGAUACUGUUUGUCUUGAGUUCGAGAGAGGUAAGUGGAACUGCGAGUGUAGAGGUGAAAUUCGUAGAUAUUCGCAAGAACACCAGUGGCGAAGGCGGCUUACUGGCUCGAAACUGACGCUGAGGUGCGAAAGCGUGGGGAGCAAACAGGAUUAGAUACCCCAGUAGUCCCUGUCUCUUAUAA